UGAUCUCCUUCUGCUGUUUGGUCUUUUCUUAGGCUACACAUUUCCGAUUUCCUCAGAAUUUUAGCAAUGGUAUGUUGUACUGUUAUCUUCUUUUAUUAUUGGUGCAAUGUUUUCCCUGAUAUGCUUGCAAAUCCAUUCUUCCUUUUAAUGAAAUGACCCUCUAAGCUCUAUAAAAAUUUUAAAGUAUUUGUCUCCAGUAUGCUUUUGUUCAUUCUACAAUUGUCAAUUAUGCUUCUAUUACUUAGCUACGUUGUACUGGCAACUAUACAUCAUGUUGUUCUUGAGACAGGCUGCAAAAAUUCUAGCUAAUUUAAUUGUAAUGGAUGGGCUCUUCUAUAUUGGCAAGGGCUUUUGUUCAAACAUAUUGCCAGGCAUUGUCCAGUAAGUAUCUUCUGAAUUAAUGUUCCUUUUAUGUCGAAAAAAAAUGUAUCUGAGUCGUUCUGCUCUGCAUCAUAAGCAUUUUGGGGGCUGUUGGGAUGUUUGGUUUGUUUUUUCUUGCUUCCAUGCACAUCUUACGCACUGUGUACUUACUCUAUCCUAAUGGCAGAUGCCUCGAAAAAUGGUGUUGCUCAAGAAGCUGUGCAGAAUAUAAAAAGAGCUAGCAAAACCAUGACGGAAGCAGAGGCAAGACAGAUUCUUGGUGUCACAGAGGAUUCAUCAUGGGAAGAAAUUGUGCAGAAGUAUGAGAACUUGUUUGAGCGAAAUGCUAAAAACGGGAGUUUACAAACCUAAAGAACCAGAAACAAAAAAAGGAAAAUUAGACACAUCACAAACAACACGACACACUCGCACCAUUUGGUAGUAUGAAUGUGUACAAAGGUAUCAAUUUCUUGAGUAGCUUACAAGAAAAGAAGUUGAAAAAACUCAAUAAGUCAAAUUCAUUAUUCAAGCUUCUUGUAUG
This is a long non-coding RNA of Solanum pennellii, 901 nucleotides long. RefSeq lists it as uncharacterized. The record is from RefSeq and is a predicted model, not a curated record. Lineage: Eukaryota; Viridiplantae; Streptophyta; Magnoliopsida; Solanales; Solanaceae. The transcript is spliced from 2 exons.